AGCGCUGUCGCUGCCCGGGGCUCUCUGCGCUGAGCGCCGGAGGGACAGCACGCCGCUCCGGGAGUCCCCAGGCGCGGGAGGUCCCAGCAGAUUUUGCAUAAAGGGAGGAAUCCUCAGGGAGGAAUCGAGUCCAGGGCACAAACAAGAUACUGGAGGAGGUGGCACGGAGAGGAUUGAUUCGGUUUGCAAGCCUACGAGGUCGUGGCCUCUCGGGGCGGGAAAGCAGGCUCCUGUCUCUCCAGGAUCCAGCCUCUCGAUCACCACGCUAGUCCUCGCCCUGCCUGGGCCUCCCUAGAGACGGGAGCUUGGGUGGAGGACCCUGGAUCCGAAGCCAAGGCUGAACUGGCGGGCCAAGCCCAGGGAGCAACCAAGUCCCCAAGUCUUUCCCUACCUUUCCCGCAGGCUGAGCGGAAAACCAGGAAGUGGAUGGUCUCCAUCUCCGCAGCCACGCCCGCCCGUUUGCGCUUACUGAACUGAGGUCCUCAGGAACGUGAAAAUGAAAGGAGGAUUACUAACUUUAUGCCAUCUUCAAACCAGAAGAUCUUAGAUUGGUAAGAUCAUGUUGGCCAUGGCAUGGAGAAUGGGCUGGAGAUGGAGAGACUGGAGGUUGGAAGUCCAGUUAGGAGAUUGCUCCUGCGCUGGGGAGUUGGUGUUAGGACAGAAGAUCCAAGACGCAUUUCAGAGGUCCCCUGCAGAUAUCUGGAUGAAACUCUUGACUGCUGGAAACUUUCAAGAAGGCCUGAGGCGGUCAGAAGCCAAGUUGUGGUUCCAAAAUUUCCGGCCUAUUCACCAAGCCUCCCUGAUGAUGAGAUCUCAAGAUAGAACAAAAACAAGACAACUGGGUGCAAAACGCAGGGUGGAACUGUUGAUAUCCCAGUGUUUCCUGCGAAGUCCUGGCUAA
Molecule: long non-coding RNA, 901 nt
Filed under: Macaca fascicularis (crab-eating macaque)
Lineage: Eukaryota; Metazoa; Chordata; Mammalia; Primates; Cercopithecidae
Description: lncRNA (ENSMFAG00000061180.1)
Source: RNAcentral